RNAcentral lists this ribosomal RNA (283 nucleotides) under uncultured bacterium. RNAcentral's name for it is "partial 16S ribosomal RNA". It matches the Rfam family "Bacterial small subunit ribosomal RNA", at positions 337 to 616 of the family's 1533-position model. The record is from RNAcentral.
ACCUACGGGGGGCAGCAGUGAGGAAUAUUGGUCAAUGGGCGGAAGCCUGAACCAGCCAAGUCGCGUGAGGGAAUAAGGCCCUACGGGUCGUAAACCUCUUUUGCCGGGGAGCAAGGGCCGGGACGCGUCCCGGCCCGGAGAGUACCCGGAGAAAAAGCAUCGGCUAACUCCGUGCCAGCAGCCGCGGUAAUACGGAGGAUGCGAGCGUUAUCCGGAUUUAUUGGGCGUAAAGGGAACGCAGGCGGUCUUUUAAGUCUGAUGUGAAAGCCUUCGGCUUAACCGG